Long non-coding RNA from Zonotrichia albicollis (white-throated sparrow), 506 nucleotides. RefSeq lists it as uncharacterized. Lineage: Eukaryota; Metazoa; Chordata; Aves; Passeriformes; Passerellidae. The record is from RefSeq and is a predicted model, not a curated record.
AAGUUCAAAGUGUGCUGCUCAACUAGCCCAGAAAAGAAGAGACAUGUCACUGAAUGUGUGCUUUGUUCAGCUUUGAAUUGCAUCUGGGAAAUUAAAGACAUUCAAACUUGAAAGGAAUUGCAGUGCAAAUGCAUUAGCAUCAAGACUUAUUUGCAUCUAGAUACAUAUUCUGAUUGCAUCUUUUAUAGACGUUUAAUCCAAGCAUCAAGAAGUAAUAAUAGACCAUGUGAGAUUUAUGAAGUCAAGUAUGUUUGUGCCUGCAUUUUACAUAGAGAAGGACCCAAGCAGAGAGUCUGCAAAUGGCAUAACAGAGGUGUCUGAAAAAAGCUGUGUUCCCGUGACUGCCAGAAGACCACAGUGUCCAGCUCUUGAAAAAUGUAUAGACUACCAACUUGGACAUGCUGGAUGUCACCGAAAUCAGGAAGGCUCAGCUAAGGGGAUUCCUCUUCAGCUCAUUUCUGCAACCACUCUCAUUUUAUGUGCCUUUGUUUUUUGAUAUAACAAAU